This 2774-nucleotide long non-coding RNA is filed under the name Gallus gallus (chicken). RNAcentral describes it as "lncRNA (ENSGALG00010012916.1)". The record is from RNAcentral. Lineage: Eukaryota; Metazoa; Chordata; Aves; Galliformes; Phasianidae.
UUGGAGAUCCCUGCCUACCUGAGGUCUUCUCAAGGCUGUGUUGUUGUUUCAGUGUUUACGGGGAUCUCCUGCUCUAGAAGGGAUCUGUGCUAUGGAUUUCUUCAUCAGAAUGAAGGUGGUUGUUCAGUGCUUGAAGAAAGAAUAACAACAAAACCCUGAUCCGGCCUAGAAACUUGCUACUCUGCUGUCACUGCUGUGCUUUCCAUCGUGUUACACCAUGCCAGCAUCUGAAUUCCCUGUGAAAUAGCCAGUUGAAGAUAAAGCUCUCAGCAGCUUUUAACAAGGAGGAAGUUGCGUUGACUUCUUGGCCUUAUUCCUAAAACUACAUUUCUGAGUGCGUUUAAAGGAGGUUUGUCACCGAUUCCUGGACUGCACUCUGGUCCCACGGGGCAACGUUUUGGAGGCGGACAUCAUAUACCUUCAGACCGAGUCUUUGUGUUGAUGUGCCAUUUAUGAGGGCUGGUGAGACCUGCACACUUUGCUUGCGCUACAGGAGGAGAUGAUGGGGAGGCGAAGGGGUAAAGCCUUGAGUCAGGUAACCAGCCUGGAGAAAAAAAAAAAAGAGAAAGAGGAAGAAGGAUUAAGUGGCUUGUGCAAGAUGGCUGAACAAAUGGGACAAAUGGCUGGCAAAGCUCAGGAGUUCUGGAUUCCAUUCUUGUGCUCCAACUGCUGAAUUAAAUUUGUUCUUGUAGAGAAAGAGCUCAUGCUGGUAAGCAUGCGGUAGAGGUGCAAAGGCAUCUUAGUUGUGUCCUCUCAGAGUACAGUGCUGCAGUGUUAUGUCUUGUGUGUUCUUUCCAGCAGAGUCUAGAGAGAGCAGGAGCUUGUAGGACAUUUUAGUACAGUUCGUUAUACUCAAUUAACAAUGUCAUUGAGACAUAGCCUCUACCUCUUCUGUUGAUCCAGAGAGAAGAUUCAUGAUUUUCAGCCCUCCUGUCCAUCCCACAGUGCCUGUAUGUGUCACUAGUUCUAUAGUUUAGUACCUCUAUUUCACAUAAUGGCAUCUAGAAAAAGUGGGAAGCAGAGAGUUGUCAGAACUUGCUGCAGCAAGAAGUAGAUACAGUUUGGGGAUUUGUUCUGUACAGACUACAGCUACUAAACUUAUCUUACAGAGACGAGCCAGCCUAGCAGGGAUCUAUGCUGCAAGUAUGCGCUGAAAUCCCUUUCCCUUUGAAGCAGGGAGAGUUAAACCGUUGACUUUAUUGCAGUUGGGUUACGUCUGUAAAUAGUUCGUAAUACUUGAAUAUUAUUAGUUACUCUCAUGGCCAGAUCUAAGCGUGCUUGAUCUCUGGAGGAAUUUGACUUCGCAUACAGUCAGGCAUUCCUCGUUUCUUAUUAGCUGAGUAAAUGCAUGUGAAGAGAAGCGUGGGUUUGACAUCUUAGCCCAGUUGCUUCUUCCUAAGAGGGUGAUGAAUGCUCUUUUAGAAACUGGGAGAAAUACAGCAUUUCUGAAAAAGAAAUCCACAGUUCAUCUCCCAGUAAGCUAUGGCUGUGACAGCUGAGCAGGGAACACUCAGGCUCUGCAUGAGUUGAAGUCUUUUAUGAUGUGGGACUGUUGGCAUCUGCUCUGCAUGUCACAGAACAUAAGGACAGCAAGUGGGUGGUUCAACAGCUGGGAUGGGAACUGGGGGGGCACGAAGUGAGCUGUCAUCUGAAAGCUUAUAGCAGAGGGAACGGUAUCUGUAAUUUAGCGUGAUUUGUUUCAUAGUGUAUUGAGUUUAUUUCAACACUACCUCUCAUUUUUAAUUCAUCACCUUCUACUCCCCAUUACAAUUGCACACUUGUUCGUUCUUCCAUCCUCUCACAAUCAUGCACACAGACUUCCCUAUGUAUUCACCGUUGAGAAAAGUGAAUAGCAGGUGUGCUUGGUACAUCACAUGCAAAUGCGUGGGCUACAGUACUAGCGCAGGCAGAGCAGCACACAGGUGGAAAACUGGAUGCUAACCAAAGGAGAAUGCCAAGACCUGAAGUGCACUUGGCCUCCAUGGGGAGUGAUCACAAGGUGGUCCAGCAUGGUCUGGUUGGAGAUGGCAGGAAAAGUUGUCCUGCCAUGACUUGACAGGAAAAUAGCUUGGAUAAGCAGACCUGAGGUUUUCUUACGGCUGCUGUUAAUGCUUGCAAUUGGGUUUUAUCACUCAUUAAGUUGUUAGCUGGUUUUGAUCUUUAUUUCAACAAGGCCAGGUUGCUAUAUCUUUAUUGUACGCAUGACAAUGUACUUACAGUCUGUGUUCCUUUUCUAAGAACUGACUCAGUUGCAUCCCGUCUGGGUGAUAUCUCUGGGCAAAUUCCAUAUAGAAGACAUUGGGCAGCCACACCCAGGCCCAGAAUUUUCUCAAAAUCACCAGCGGUGGGUUUUUUGCAGUGGUACCCGUGCAAAAGUAAAGCAUGAAGCUAGCCAUUUUUAUUUGCACUUUCAAAGUACAAAGGCUUGGACUUGGAUGUGUGGGUAGAGAAUCAGUCUAAAAAUAGACUUACCUAACCUGACCUUGCUAUUGAGCUUGAUAUCUAAGAAUCCGUGGGAAUGAUCCCCAGGCCUGAAGUUAUUGCCUGUUGUGAUUUGAGCUGUUUCCCUGUCUGAGGGUAGUGCUGCAUUGUUCUCUUAAAGGUUGUAUGAGUCACAAUUUAUGUGAGUUGCUUUAUCACUCUAAUUAGUCUAGAGAUUGAAAAAAGGAAAAGUAUAUGCAAAAGGUCAAAGGCAAAACAUUAGUAGUCCUUGUAAACUUGUGAGGCGCUCCGUAUGAUUUUCUGUUUGAGAAAUAAAGCACUCCUAGCUCCUU